GACGAACGCUGGCGGCGUGCUUAACACAUGCAAGUCGAACGGAAAGGCCCUGCUUUUGUGGGGUGCUCGAGUGGCGAACGGGUGAGUAACACGUGAGUAACCUGCCCUUGACUUUGGGAUAACUUCAGGAAACUGGGGCUAAUACCGGAUAGGAGCUCCUGCUGCAUGGUGGGGGUUGGAAAGUUUCGGCGGUUGGGGAUGGACUCGCGGCUUAUCAGCUUGUUGGUGGGGUAGUGGCUUACCAAGGCUUUGACGGGUAGCCGGCCUGAGAGGGUGACCGGCCACAUUGGGACUGGGAUACGGCCCAGACUCCUACGGGAGGCAGCAGUGGGGAAUAUUGCACAAUGGGCGGAAGCCUGAUGCAGCAACGCCGCGUGCGGGAUGGCGGCCUUCGGGUUGUAAACCGCUUUCGCCUGUGACGAAGCGUGAGUGACGGUAAUGGGUAAAGAAGCACCGGCUAACUACGUG
RNAcentral lists this ribosomal RNA (468 nucleotides) under uncultured bacterium. RNAcentral's name for it is "partial 16S ribosomal RNA". It matches the Rfam family "Bacterial small subunit ribosomal RNA", at positions 28 to 507 of the family's 1533-position model. The record is from RNAcentral.